CGCGCUCUACCUUUGCUGCUUGUGCUGCUUUCCUACAUCUAAAGAAAUUUUGGCAUAAAAAAGAGAUGAGUUGGCUGCUCUGGAAGCACUGAUAGCUGCCUCAACUCCUUCAACUUCUACACCUCCCGCUUUUCAGCCUUAUGUUCCAGCUGCACAAGCAACAACACCUUUACCUGCUCAGUCAGGUCCAUCUACUUCCGCACAGUUUGUCACUUUGGAAAAUUUUGAUGAAAAACUCAGUUUAAUAAACCCAAAGAAUGCAGGAGCAAUCCAGCCUUAUCGCAAUCCAUAUGCAAAAUCUCAUGACAUGGCUCCUUAUCCACCAGGGUACCAAAUCCCACCAUUUUCUAUGUUUGAUGGGAGAGGUUGCCCUAAAAGACACUUAUCUCAUUUCAUUACCGCUUGCCGAAACACUGCCACAAAUGGGUCUUUGCUAUUGAGACAAUUUUCCCUUUCCCUCGACGGUCCUGCCUACAAGUGGUAUGACAACAUCGGACCCGAGUCCAUAUCAAGCUGGAAACAAAUGCAAAGGGCUUAGGUAAGCACUCGGGUCAGCGGAUCGGCUUAAGAAAGCAAAUCAAACUACAAUGUCUUCCGUCUUAGAUUGUCUACAUCCUUCUUUCUAAUAAGUGAGAGUGGUUGAACCUAAACCAGCCUUUCUCCCUUCAAGCUCCCUUCGCCAAAGAAAAAGGCUGAUAAGAGAGUGAAAGACAGCAAAAAAAAAGUCAGCGAAGUAUAGCCGGUCGAGUACCACAUAAGGAGAAAAAGGUCAUCCUCUCAAAGCCAAUGACUUCCCCUUUUUUUUUCGCUUAUUCCACCUUACUCGUUAAAGUAAGCAAGAUGAACUACCUUACUCGUUAAAGUAAGCAAGUUGAACUACCUUACUCUAACAAGUAAGCAAGUUGAAUUACCUUCCUUAGUUAUUUUAGUUCGCUGCGUGGAGUGAAAAGCUUUCUGAGAAUCUCAACGGGGCCUUAAUAUCAAUAGAUUGCGGCUACCUUUAGUCUGCUGCAAUAGCCCCAAAGCCGCCCCGAUCAAUCACCUUGCCAAAAGCCAAAAAUUGAAACCUAUCUGGCCCCAAAGCUUGAAAUGCAAUAUACCUUACUCUAACAAGUAAGCAAGUUUCACUACCUUCCAAAAAUGAAAGGAAAGCUGCUGACUAAAGGUUACUGAAAAGCUAAAGCUGCUGCUAUUGCCGAUUAUCUGAGCUUGAACUAUGGCUACCAUAGAUAGGGAGGGCAAACAUCUCAUCACUUGCCGCUAGACCAUGGAACCUACCUUAGCCAUAGAAUGGGCGAACAUCUCAUUAUAUCUUUAGAUCUAAGGGACUAAGGUACCUUAGGCGCUUCCCUAAGGUAGCCCCGAAGGUUGUUACCGCUACUUCUAAGGUACCGAAGGGCUAAUCGAAGGGCUUUCGCUAAGGAAGCAAAAAGUCCUGCUAAGGACUCCGUGGGUUCCGCUAAGGAAGCUGACCGUAACUGGUUCCCUUUAAGGUUGUAACCCGGACCGAAGGUGCUGACUACCAGUUACCGAAAGCCGACCGCAAGGGGCUUCCUUUCCUGGCCGACCGAAGGUGCUGGCUACCAAUAAGGAAGCCGGUUGAAGAUGGUGCGCACGGCAUGGCUCUUGAGACUCAAUCCACUUAUCUCCCUUUUGAAUUAGGCCCUUAGCUUAGUAUAUCAUGUAGCCUAAUGAUAGUAGCAUCUUCAAGACCGGCUUUCCCUAGAAGCAUGGAUUGAGCCCGAAAGCCGCGCGAAGCCUUCGCGAUCUUCGAUACAGGUCUAACGCCUACACAUCCCCAUCUCCAUCGAAUCUUCUGGAACUGGAAAAUGN
This 1833-nucleotide long non-coding RNA is filed under the name Amborella trichopoda. RNAcentral's name for it is "long non-coding RNA (ATRI_LNC001151)". The record is from RNAcentral. Lineage: Eukaryota; Viridiplantae; Streptophyta; Magnoliopsida; Amborellales; Amborellaceae.